AGUAUACUUGGGUAAUAAAACCGCAUUUCUUGAGCGUCUACCAUUACCAACCAAACAACCAGAUUUCUGAAUUUCCAAAGGUUGACUUCAAUUUUAAGAGGUGGAGCUAAAUCUAACUAACGUUGGUUGAAAUGUGGAGCUUAGGAUUCAAUAUUUUGAUUAGGGUUUCUAUUUUGCUCUCAUUUACAUCUUUAAUUUCUUCCUUCGAACCCCAACUCGGAUCAACCCGCGUCGUUUUUCAGACAAAUUAUGGAGAUAUUGAAUUUGGUUUCUAUCCAACUGUUGCACCCAAAACUGUUGAUCACAUUUUUAAGCUUGUGAGACUUGGAGGCUAUAAUACCAAUCAUUUCUUCCGGGUGGAUAAGGGAUUUGUAGCUCAAGUAGCUGAUGUUGCUAAUGGAAGAUCUGCUCCCAUGAACGAGGAACAAAGAAGAGAAGCUGAAAAGACUGUUGUUGGCGAAUUUAGUGAUGUCAAACAUGUUCGGGGUAUUCUUUCUAUGGGAAGGUAUGACGAUCCAGAUAGUGGUUCAUCCUCUUUUUCAAUGUUACUUGGAAAUUCUCCUCAUCUUGAUGGGAAGUAUGCAAUAUUUGGAAAAGUUACUAAAGGUGACGAUACAUUGGCAAAGCUUGAGCAACUACCUACCCGUAAAGAAGGAAUAUUUGUCAUGCCAACGGAGCGCAUCACCAUCCUCUCAUCAUAUUACUAUGGUUCAUGAUAUAAGCUGAUUGCAUGGCCUCCAAAAGUGCUCUCAGCCUCAGACACGGAGACAGAAAAUUGUGAGCAAGACAGAUCGAUUUUGAAGCGCAAGUUAGCUGCAUCAGCCAUUGAAGUUGAAAGACAGAGAAUGAAAUGCUUCCCCUAAUAGAAGCACGUUGAACACAUGAAGUUGGAAUGAAUGUUAUAUUGCUUUAUUAGCUUUUUGUAUAAUGUCUAAAGUAUGAUAUCUGAAUACUGGUGUUUGUUAAGUAUGAGAAAUUAUUCUAAAUAUAUGCAUAAACAUGAAUUCAGAUAGAAGCUCAAUAUAAAAGGCUAAGUUGUUGAAAUUAAA
Trifolium pratense (red clover) is the source of this 1049-nucleotide RNA transcript. It is a transcript of the gene named peptidyl-prolyl cis-trans isomerase CYP23, with no coding region annotated. The transcript has 9 exons. The record is from RefSeq and is a predicted model, not a curated record. NCBI's taxonomy places the organism in Eukaryota, Viridiplantae, Streptophyta, Magnoliopsida, Fabales, Fabaceae.